RNAcentral lists this ribosomal RNA (239 nucleotides) under uncultured bacterium. RNAcentral describes it as "partial 16S ribosomal RNA". It matches the Rfam family "Bacterial small subunit ribosomal RNA", at positions 102 to 339 of the family's 1533-position model. The record is from RNAcentral.
ACGGGUGAGUAACGCGUGAGGAUCUGCCCUUCAGUGAAGGAUACCCUUGAGAAAUUAAGGUUAAUACUGCAUACGUCCCUUUUUAACAAAAGGGAGAAAGAUGGCCUCUUGCUGUCGCUGAAAGAUGAACUUGCGUUCUAUUAGCUAGUUGGUGGGGUAAAGGCUCACCAAGGCGAUGAUGGAUAGCCGGCCUGAGAGGGUGAACGGCCACAUUGGAACUGAGAAACGGUCCAGACUCC